This 1164-nucleotide long non-coding RNA is filed under the name Struthio camelus australis. RNAcentral describes it as "lncRNA (ENSSCUG00000000974.1)". Lineage: Eukaryota; Metazoa; Chordata; Aves; Struthioniformes; Struthionidae. The record is from RNAcentral.
CGCCGAGCUUUUCACUGGUACUUAGAGAAGGUCCACGGUGAUCCCCGUUCAGUAUACUGGGGUUUUUGAGCAUAACUUUUGUUCUCAAUCUAAAUGAGCAAGUACAACUUUGCAGCCAAAGCUGAAGCCAAAUACAUGCAUUUGGAGUUAUGUUGAUUUUUUUUUCUAGUUAUAAAUUUAGAAACUGAGGAUAUCUUAUACCUUUUAAAAACGUUAUAACUUAUGCAGUUACUGGAAAACUGACUUAAAUUCACAGCUUCUAUGCAUUUUAGAAAUAAUUCUCAUGCUGUUUUUCUGUAUAUCAGGGAAUGUAAUUUCUGCCAAUUAUCUCCACAGAACAAUUAAUUUAUUUCACAGUAACUUCAGUUGUUGCCUACAAUCACUUUAGCUAUAGCCUUAAAUACGAUCUGGUAGGCUUGCCAGUAAAAUCUGGCAGCUUUUAAUUCAUUUCUGUUUUAUUUAUGGAGCCCACCACUUUCCUACAGAUUUUUAUACUGCAUAUAAGAAGAAACCAUCUCUGAAAAAUUAAUUAAAACAAAAUUCCUUGCUUGAGACAAGCCUCAGUCCCUCAAAAACAAUCUCUACCUUCCUUGGUUGGCAUGCCUUACCUUUAGGAAUUACAUAAACAACUCCUAGAGCUAAAUAUACUCUUUUUUUUUUUAAGUGACUAAUGAAUUUUGGUGUGUCAGUCUUUGGCAGUUCAUCCUGAAAUGUUAUGAGAAGGUCCUCAAUUUUUAGAAGAACUUGUGAUUUCUUUUGAUUUGCCUAACCUUGUAUAUUUGAAAAAUAAUACAUUCAGAAUUUGGUUUCAUGGUAUAAAGCUCUCAGUAAAUACGCUGGCUUUAGAUAUUCUUUUCCCUGUUUCCUUCUGCUGCCCUGCAUGACAUGUCAUUCCUUCAGCUCUGUUUGUUGGACCACACUGUGAAUUGGAACAUGGAAAUGAAAAUCUUGCAGAUAAACUCUUUGAAAUGUGAAACCACAGCACAGAAAUUGCUUGUCAUACCAGACACUGCAAGUCUUACAGUUCCAGAAUUUGAAGGAUCUUCCAGCUCUGUUUCUUCCAUUUCUGAAAGCCAGCUCAUGCACUUUCUCCCAGCAAAACCUCAGGAAGACUUUUUUACAAGGGGGAAUGGUGUCACUGAAAUGCCCAAGCGUAAAUUGUGA